AAUUUUUCUUUAAAGUUUUUUAUCGAUUUCAUCGUUUCCAAUAGACAAGCAGACGAAUUUGUGACAUUAGAACGAAAGAUUCGAUACGUGUUAAGCGGGAGCUAAUAAAUGUUCGCGUUCCGUUUUAAUCAUUCUUUUGGCUACUCGUUAACCCCCAGAAAUUUGAAAUUUUUUAAUAACAAACCUGAAGGGCACUCUUUUUCACGACACACGAUUGUUUGAAGGUUUAUUUUCACUAGACAUAGAUAGUCAUUUGAAUGGUGCAGUUCCUAUCCUCAGCCCUACAGUGUGCAAAAAUAGAUUGUGGAAAAAACUGCCCAUGCUGAAUCUGCACAAUGCUGGCUUAAUGACUACACAGCAUUAAAAGACUCUUCCCUUAAGGAAGUAGCUGUGGACUUUCUUUAGAUGACUCUUGUAUCAGAAAUAUUUUCCUGCUUCUUGGAACAAGGAACAUAGGAUGCCUUGAUGCCAAUGAAGUGUCAUUGGAAAGAUUCAGGAGAAACCUAAAGUUGGAGGAUGAUACAUUUGUUUCCCAUUACUAGUUUUGUAAAACAAAUGGUAAAUUGGUAAAAAAAAACAUGUCACCUAUUACUUUAAAUAAAUUGUUUUCAAAAGUGGAGAUUAAUUCCAAAUCUUCAGCUUCCCAGGCAGACACCCAUCCACAAAGCCAUGGGUGAUAGAUGAUAUUCACAGCGGCACGACUGCGUUGUAAAUUGGAAUCACUUUUAUAAAGCCAAACAGGUAUAACAAAAAUAGCAUUUAAAAAUUUUUUUGUAUAGAAUUAUGAUGACUCGGCUAUUAAGUAAUGAAAUCGAAUUUUUAAGUUUUGUUACGUUUGAAAGUUACCCAAGAUUAUCGUAUCUCAUUGUUAUUCAUCAUAUAUGUCUGUGUAAUUCAUUGCUGGGAAACUAUAUUACAUGGACUUGUUGUGUCAGUGUUA
RNAcentral lists this long non-coding RNA (940 nucleotides) under Daphnia magna. RNAcentral's name for it is "uncharacterized LOC116921637, transcript variant X3". The record is from RNAcentral. Lineage: Eukaryota; Metazoa; Arthropoda; Branchiopoda; Diplostraca; Daphniidae.